GCACUGGUAGCUCAGCCGGAUAGAGUACUUGACUACGAAUCAAGGGGUCGGGGGUUCGAAUCCUCCCCAGUGCGCCA
This 77-nucleotide transfer RNA is filed under the name Hyphomonadaceae bacterium. RNAcentral describes it as "tRNA-Arg". It matches the Rfam family "tRNA". From Rfam's summary of the family: Transfer RNA (tRNA) molecules are approximately 80 nucleotides in length. The record is from RNAcentral. Lineage: Bacteria; Pseudomonadati; Pseudomonadota; Alphaproteobacteria; Hyphomonadales; Hyphomonadaceae.